UGAAAUUGGAAGUGCUGAUGGGCAUGAUGAUGGUGGAGAUAGGCAAGGUUCAGCAGAUGCUAGAACUAGGAGGACUAACGUAUCGUUUGGAAAUUCUACUCAGGUAAGUGCGAGAGAUGUUGCCCUUCACAGUGUAUCUGAAGCUUCAGAACAUCCAAAUCAAGAAGCAGAACAAGGUGGACCCAAUGAUGAACAGCAACGUAAUGUAGAUGCUGAUUCUGGAUCAAUUGAUCCUGCAUUUCUUGAGGCGCUUCCUGAGGAGUUGCGAGCCGAGGUUCUCUCAGCUCAACAGGGUCAAGCAACUCAACCACCAAAUUCUGAGCCUCAAAAUGGUGGAGAUAUUGAUCCAGAAUUUCUGGCAGCCCUUCCGUCUGACAUCAGAGAAGAAGUGUUGGCACAGCAAAGGGCACAGCGGCUGCAGCAGUCACAAGAAUUAGAAGGCCAGCCUGUUGAGAUGGACACUGUGUCAAUUAUUGCUACAUUCCCUUCAGAACUACGGGAAGAGGUCCUUCUGACAUCUUCUGAUGCCAUUCUUGCUAAUUUAACACCUGCUCUUGUGGCGGAAGCAAAUAUGUUGCGUGAGAGAUUUGCACGUAGGUAUAACCGAACACUUUUUGGUAUGUAUCCUAGAAACCGUAGAGGCGACUCUAGGCGGAAUGAACAAUUGGACAGGGCUGGUGGAACCCUUUCACGUAGAUCAGCCGGAAGUAAGCCUCUGGAGGCUGAUGGGUCUCCCUUAGUUGACACUGAGGGUUUAAGAGCUUUGGUGAGGUUGCUCCGCGUAUUCCAGCCAAUAUACAAAGUUCCUCUACAGAGGCUGAUGUUGAAUCUCAGUGCACAUGCUGAAACAAGAACUGCUUUAGUGAAAAUAUUUAUGGACUUGUUGAUGCUUGAUGUCGGACAGCCUGCUACUGAUCUGAAUACUGCUGAACCCCCAUAUCGACUAUAUGGUUGCCAAAGUAAUGUGAUGUAUUCACGUCCUCAACAUCUUGAUGGAAUUCCUCCAUUACUAUCUCGUCGUGUUCUUGAGACACUUACAUACCUGGCAAAGAACCAUUCUUUAGUUGCAAAGACUCUACUUGAAUUCAGGCUCCCUCGACCAGUGCUGGAAGGGCCAAUAGUUCCGGAUCAGAGGCGGGGAAAAGCUGUUAUGGUUGAGGCUGAUGGACCAGAUAGAUGGCAGCUUGAAGGACAAGUAUCUCUGGCAUUGCUUUUGGGCCUCUUGAACCAUCCCCUUUAUUUGAGAAGUGUUGCACAUCUUGAGCAGCUGUUAAAUCUGCUAGAUGUUGUAGUCCAAAACACAGAAAGCAAAUCAAAUGCGCGUGAAGAACCUGGCACAUCCUCUACAGAGCAACUGCCUGGUCCUCCAGUCCAAUCUGCUGCUGAAAUGAAUACUGAAUCUCAUGCAGCUUCAUCUGAGGUUGAGGACAAAUCUGGAGCAUCGUCCUCUAUCACAGGCAGAGACCAAAGUACUGAAAGUAUUCUACUCAGUCUACCACAAUUAGAACUUCGACGUCUGUGCUCAUUGCUUGCCAGAGAAGGUCUUUCAGACAAUGCUUACUCUUUGGUAGCUGAGGUACUGAAAAAGUUGGUGGCCAUAGCUCCUGCCAUUUGUCAUUUAUUUAUUACUGAGCUUGCUGGCUCGGUGCAAAGUCUGACCAGAUCUGCGAUGGAUGAGCUAAACAAGUUUAGGGAAGUGGAAAAAGCACUGCUCAGUACCACUUCAACUGAUGGCGCUGUGAUACUCAGGGUUUUACAAGCAUUAAGCUCUCUUGUUGCUUCAAUUGGUGACAAGAACAACGAGAAUCAAAUUAUUUCUGAGAAGGAGCACGGUGUUACUAUCUCCCUGGUUUGGGACAUUAACACAGCUCUAGAACCUCUAUGGCAGGAGCUGAGCACUUGCAUUAGCACAAUGGAGAGUUUUUCAGAAACAGCACCCAACCUGCCUCAAUCAUCUAUUGUUACCUCAUCUAAACCUGCUGGAGCAAUGUCUUCGCUUCCUGCAGGCUCACAAAACAUUUUACCGUACGUAGAGUCCUUUUUUGUGAUGUGUGAGAAGUUGCAUCCUGGGCAUUUGGGUGCAGGACAGGAGUUCAGUAUUGCGACAGUUCCUGAUCCAGAAGAGGCUACUGCUUCUGCUAUGCAGCCAAAAACACCUACAUCUGCAACAAAAGUUGAUGAGAAGCACAUUGCUUUUGUAAAAUUUGCAGAGAAGCACAAAAAACUUCUUAAUGCUUUUGUUCGGCAGAAUCCUGGACUACUGGAGAAGUCUUUCUCGAUCAUGCUGAAGGUUCCUCGUUUUGUUGAUUUUGACAAUAA
Molecule: unclassified non-coding RNA, 2319 nt
Filed under: Hevea brasiliensis (rubber tree)
Lineage: Eukaryota; Viridiplantae; Streptophyta; Magnoliopsida; Malpighiales; Euphorbiaceae
Source: RNAcentral